CAAAAUAUUAUUUUAAUUAAAAGUUUAAUCGAUAAAAAAAUUUCACCCCAAAAAUUUCUCAACCCAUCGCCAUUCCCCACCUCCAUCGCCGUUCCUCCGUAUACCGCUCCUCGCCGACCGCCGCCGUCAACAACCUCCACUCCGCUCGCCGCCGUCAACGACCUGCACUCCGCUCACCGCCGUGAACAGCCUCCACUCCGCUCGCCGCCGUCAACAGCCUCCUCUCCGCUCGCCGCCGCCGCACGCCGCUCGCCGCCAAGACCUUCGCCGUCGCCUUCCCGCCGGAAAAUAAGGCCUUCCGGUGGUUUGAGGCCGCGGAGACCGUCGGAAAAUGUUAAGGAACUGAGGAGAAGCAAGUCGGAGCCAACUCCGGGGAAUCAUUCCGAGGUAAUUUUUUAUUUUAUAUUUGUUUAGCAAUUAUUAUUUUUUUCUACUAUUUAUUUAUUAAUUUAUUUAUUUUAUUAGAACUAUUAUGCUGCAGAUCAUAUAUUUCCAACUCAAGUGCUAUUAUUAAUUCUGAUGAAAAAUUAGGGCUGUUAAAUUAAUGAUCUUAUUUUAAUAUUUUUUUGUUCAAAUAUCUUAUUUUUAGGUGUCAAGAUCAUUCCAGGUGAUUCUUGGUUUGGAGUUUAUUGUAAAGUUAUGGUCUUUAGUCUUUACACACUUUGAUAUAGAUUGAAACAGUGUGUCUGUGUGUGUGGAAAUUGUGUGUGCAUGUGAUUAUGUG
Molecule: long non-coding RNA, 724 nt
Filed under: Erythranthe guttata (spotted monkey flower)
Lineage: Eukaryota; Viridiplantae; Streptophyta; Magnoliopsida; Lamiales; Phrymaceae
Description: long non-coding RNA (EGUT_LNC000094)
Source: RNAcentral